RNAcentral lists this ribosomal RNA (250 nucleotides) under uncultured bacterium. RNAcentral describes it as "partial 16S ribosomal RNA". It matches the Rfam family "Bacterial small subunit ribosomal RNA", at positions 524 to 773 of the family's 1533-position model. The record is from RNAcentral.
UACGUAGGUGGCAAGCGUUGUCCGGAUUUAUUGGGCGUAAAGCGAGUGCAGGCGGUCUUUUAAGUCUGAUGUGAAAGCCUUCGGCUUAACCGAAGAAGGGCAUCGGAAACUGGGAGACUUGAGUGCAGAAGAGGAGAGUGGAACUCCAUGUGUAGCGGUGAAAUGCGUAGAUAUAUGGAAGAACACCAGUGGCGAAGGCGGCUCUCUGGUCUGUAACUGACGCUGAGGCUCGAAAGCGUGGGUAGCAAAC